This 490-nucleotide ribosomal RNA is filed under the name uncultured organism. RNAcentral's name for it is "bacterial SSU rRNA". It matches the Rfam family "Bacterial small subunit ribosomal RNA", at positions 30 to 507 of the family's 1533-position model. The record is from RNAcentral.
AUUGAACGCUGGCGGCAUGCUUUACACAUGCAAGUCGGACGGCAGCAUAGAAGAGCUUGCUCUUUUGAUGGCGAGUGGCGAACGGGUGAGUAAUAUAUUGGAACGUACCGAGUAGCGGGGGAUAACUGUCCGAAAGGAUGGCUAAUACCGCAUACGCUCUGAGGAGGAAAGCUGGGGACCUUCGGGCCUGGCACUAUUCGAGCGGCCAAUAUCUGAUUAGCUAGUUGGUGGGGUAAGAGCCCACCAAGGCGACGAUCAGUAGCGGGUCUGAGAGGAUGAUCCGCCACACUGGGACUGAGACACGGCCCAGACUCCUACGGGAGGCAGCAGUGGGGAAUUUUGGACAAUGGGCGCAAGCCUGAUCCAGCCAUGCCGCGUGUAUGAAGAAGGCCUUAGGGUUGUAAAGUACUUUUGUCAGGGAAGAAAAGGGCAUUGCUAAUACCGAUGUCUCAUGACGGUACCUGAAGAAUAAGCACCGGCUAACUACGUG